UACAUAGCUUAAUGAGGGGAACUCAGGGAACUGAAACAUCUAAGUACCUGAAGGAAGAGAAAGAAAUUCGAUUCCGUAAGUAGCGGCGAGCGAACGCGGAUUAGCCCAAACCAAUAAAGUUUUCUUUGUUGGGGUUGCGGACAUAUCAUAACGAAGAGGUAUCGUAAUUGAAGAGGUUUGGAAAGACCCACCACAGAAGGUAAUAGUCCUGUAUGUUAAACGAGAAGACUUUAGAUAUGAUCCAGAGUACCACGGGACACGUGAAACCCUGUGGGAAGCAGGAGGGACCACCCUCCAAGGCUAAAUACUACCUAGUGACCGAUAGCGUAUAGUACCGUGAGGGAAAGGUGAAAAGAACCCCGGGAGGGGAGUGAAAUAGAACCUGAAACCCUGCACUUACAAGCUGUGGAAGCACAUUUCUUGUGUGACCGCGUACUUUUUGUAGAACGGGCCAACGAGUUACGUUAAGUAGCAAGGUUAAGCACUUAAGGUGUGGAGCCGUAGCGAAAGCGAGUUUUAACUGAGCGUUCAGUUACUUGACGUAGACCCGAAACCGGGCGACCUACCCAUGAGCAGGAUGAAGCGAAAGUAAAAUGUCGUGGAGGUCCGAACCCACGAGCGUUGAAAAGCUCGGGGAUGACUUGUGGGUAGCGGUGAAAUUCCAAUCGAGCCCGGAGAUAGCUGGUUCUCCCCGAAAUAGCUUUAGGGCUAGCCUCAAGGUGAGAGAUACGGAGGUAGAGCACUGAAUGUCCUAGGGGGUAUUGCACCUACCGAAGACUAUCAAACUCCGAAUGCCGUCAUCUUAUACUUGGGAGUCAGACUGUGGGUGAUAAGAUUCAUAGUCGAAAGGGCAACAGCCCAGAUCGUCAGCUAAGGUCCCUAAAUGUAAGUUAAGUGGUAAAGGAUGUGGGAUUGCACAGACAACCAGGAUGUUGGCUUAGAAGCAGCCACUCAUUCAAAGAGUGCGUAAUAGCUCACUGGUCGAGUGAUCCUGCGCCGAAGAUUUCCGGGGCUAAAACUUACUACCGAAGCUACGGCAUCAGUAAUGAUGGGUAGGGGAGCUUCCCAUACGGGUUGAAGCAUGACCGUAAGGACAUG
This 1098-nucleotide ribosomal RNA is filed under the name Clostridioides difficile. RNAcentral describes it as "bacterial LSU rRNA". It matches the Rfam family "Bacterial large subunit ribosomal RNA", at positions 163 to 1273 of the family's 2925-position model. Lineage: Bacteria; Bacillati; Bacillota; Clostridia; Peptostreptococcales; Peptostreptococcaceae. The record is from RNAcentral.